This 381-nucleotide ribosomal RNA is filed under the name uncultured bacterium. Its description in RNAcentral is "bacterial SSU rRNA". It matches the Rfam family "Bacterial small subunit ribosomal RNA", at positions 28 to 408 of the family's 1533-position model. The record is from RNAcentral.
GACGAACGCUGGCGGCGUGCUUAACACAUGCAAGUCGAGCGGUAAGGCCCUUUUGGGGGUACACGAGCGGCGAACGGGUGAGUAACACGUGGGUGACCUGCCCUCAGCUCUGGGAUAAGCCUGGGAAACUGGGUCUAAUACUGGAUAUGACCUUUCCUCGCAUGGGGUUGGGUGGAAAGUUUUUUCGGCUGGGGAUGGGCCCGCGGCCCAUCAGCUUGUUGGUGGGGUGAUGGCCUACCAAGGCGACGACGGGUAGCCGGCCUGAGAGGGCGACCGGCCACCACUGGGACUGAGACACGGCCCAGACUCCUACGGGAGGGCAGCAGUGGGGAAGUAUUGCGCAAUGGGCGGAAGCCUGACGCAGCGACGCCGCGUGGGGGA